This 45-nucleotide non-coding RNA is filed under the name Schistosoma mansoni. The record is from RNAcentral. Lineage: Eukaryota; Metazoa; Platyhelminthes; Trematoda; Strigeidida; Schistosomatidae.
AUCCGGCUGACGAGUCCCGAACAGGACGAAACACACGUCCAGGAU